This 72-nucleotide transfer RNA is filed under the name Proscyllium habereri (graceful catshark). Its description in RNAcentral is "tRNA-Trp". It matches the Rfam family "tRNA". From Rfam's summary of the family: Transfer RNA (tRNA) molecules are approximately 80 nucleotides in length. Their secondary structure includes four short double-helical elements and three loops (D, anti-codon, and T loops). Lineage: Eukaryota; Metazoa; Chordata; Chondrichthyes; Carcharhiniformes; Proscylliidae. The record is from RNAcentral.
AGAAAUUUAGGUUAAUAGUUAGACCAAAAGCCUUCAAAGCUUUAAGUAGAAGUGAAAAUCCUCUAAUUUCUG